UGAUGUGGCUGCCUGAUGUGGCCAUGGUGU
RNAcentral lists this non-coding RNA (30 nucleotides) under Homo sapiens (human). Lineage: Eukaryota; Metazoa; Chordata; Mammalia; Primates; Hominidae. The record is from RNAcentral.